GGAGGAACAACAAACAACAAUACAGAGGUUGGCAAUGAGCAAGAAGGGAAUGCUCCUAGUGACCUAACAUGCCAAGGCCCCCAGCUACACCUAUCUAUCAAUGCUAGCUUACUAGCAGACUACCUGGCUUCCUACCUGCCUAUCUCUUUACUGAUCUGCUUGAAUGGAUGAUAUCCCCCGAUGAUAUCUAUUGAUGACAUCCACUAAUGAAUUCCAGCGAUAAUAUCUAGCAAUGAUCCCCUUUACUACGGAUACCUAGGCAGCAGUUACUUGAGCACACGAUCAAAAAUUUAGAGACAGAAAUUCAAAAAUCCAGA
This 317-nucleotide small RNA is filed under the name Histoplasma ohiense. RNAcentral's name for it is "hypothetical lncRNA". The record is from RNAcentral. Lineage: Eukaryota; Fungi; Ascomycota; Eurotiomycetes; Onygenales; Ajellomycetaceae.